This 6147-nucleotide long non-coding RNA is filed under the name Gossypium barbadense (sea-island cotton). Its description in RNAcentral is "long non-coding RNA (GBAR_LNC011747)". The record is from RNAcentral. Lineage: Eukaryota; Viridiplantae; Streptophyta; Magnoliopsida; Malvales; Malvaceae.
AAAUUUAAAUCACAAUCCAAUAUAUAUAUAUCAACCAAACUCAUUUAUAAUAAUACUCACAAUUUAACUAUUAAUGAACACCACAUUUUAAAUCAAACCAUAACAUAUAUUUACAUGAUGAUUCCAUAUUUCAUAGGUCGUCUUUACAUGCCAUAAUUUUCCGGAACGAUAGUAGCAAAAUACCCCAAGUGUGAAGGAUAGUGUGGAUGAUUGUCUGACUUCGUUCCAAAUUUCCGAGUUGUCAGAAGUCACUCGGUGCAAAAUAUCGUAAUUUUGCACUUCACUCCACUAUCUUUUCUUUUCCUCGUUUGAGAUAAUCUUCACGUCUUUCUUGAUUAUGAGCUUGAGAAAGCAAAGAAACCUUAGCUAUGGCUUCCUUCAAAUUUCGGCAGCAACUAAUGAGGAAGAUGAUGAUUUUUGUCAUCUUUUUCCCAUUUUAUUUUUUUUUUAUUACCAAAUGACUAAUAUGCCCCCACUUAAAAAAAAUCUAUUUCUCUCAUUUCUUAUGUCUAUUUUUGUCCAUCAACUAACUAAUGGUCUAAUUACCACAUAAAGACCUCCAAUUUAAAAUUUCAUAUCAAUUAGAUACUUCUACAUAUAGAACUCAACUUUUGCACUAUUUACAAUUUAGUCCUUUUGACUAAAUUGAGUGCCCAAACGUCGAAAUUUUCGAACGAAAUUUUUACGAAAAUUUUCCGUGAAAUUGUAGACCAUAAAAAUAUAAUAAUAACCAUAUUUUCCCUCGUCGGAUUUGUGGUCCCGAAACCACUAUUCUGACUAGGCCCAAAAUCGGGCUGUUACAACUCUCCCCCUUUAAGGAUUUUCGUCCCCGAAAAUCUUACCGGAAAAGAGAUUUGGGUACUGUUUCCUCAUAAUUUCCUCCGGUUCCCACGUAGCUUCCUCCAUCCCAUGUUUUUGCCACAGUACUUUUACUAAGGAUACACUUUUAUUCCUUAACUGCUUGACUUCCCGAGCCAAAAUCUUUAUUGGUUCUUCCUCAUAAGUCAUAUCUGGUCUGACCUCAAUCUCUGUAGGGGAAACUAUAUGUGAAGGAUCCGAACGGUAACGUCGCAACAUCGACACAUGAAACACAUUAUGUAUCUUUUCCAACUCCGGUGGUAAAGCUAACCGAUAUGCUACAGGGCCAACUCUCUCGGUAACUUCAUAUGGUCCAAUAAAUCGUGGACUUAGUUUGCCUUUACGACCAAAUCUCAGAAUCUUCUUCCAUGGAGACACCUUCAAGAACACCUUAUCACCUACUUGAAACUCAAUUUCUUUUCUCUUUAAAUCCGCAUACGACUUUUGCCGAUCUGAGGCAGCCUUUAAACAGUCACGAAUUAUUUUCACCUUUUUUUCAGUUUCUUUCACCAAGUCGACUCCAUGAAUCCGGUUCUCACCGAGCUCAGUCCAAUAUAAAGGAGUUCUACACUUACGCCCAUAUAAUGCUUCAUACGGUGCCAUUCGUAUACUUGACUGAUAGCUAUUGUUAUAAGCAAAUUCAACCAAUGGUAGAUAUUUCUCCCAACUGCCUUUCAAUUCUAAAAUACAACACCGGAGCAUAUCUUCAAGAAUUUGAAUCACUCUUUCUGAUUGCCCGUCAGUUUGCGGAUGAAACGCAGUACUGAAAUUCAAUUUUGUACCCAAGGCUUCCUGCAACUUUAUCCAAAACCUCGAAGUAAAUCUCGGAUCUCUAUCCGAUAUAAUAGAUUUAGGCACCCCAUGUAAUUUCACUAUUUCAGCAACAUAUAAUUCUGCCAACCUGUCAAGUGAGUAAUCAAUGCGUAUCGGAAUAAAAUGAGCCGACUUUGUCAAUCUAUCAACAAUUACCCAAAUAGCAUCUUUCUUCUUUGGAGUUAAAGGCAAUCCUGUCACAAAAUCCAUCGUAAUACUAUCCCACUUCCACUCUGGAAUCGUUAUCGGUUGAAGUAAACCCGAUGGUACUUGAUGCUCAGCCUUCACUUGUUGACAGAUUAAACACUUUGAUACAAAUUCCGAGAUAUCCUUUUUCAUGCCUGGCCACCAAUACAACUUCUUCAAAUCAUUAUACAUUUUCACACUACCCGGAUGAACUGACAAGUCACCACUAUGUGCCUCACAUAAAAUGGUCUGAAUUAACUCAUCAUUUCUUGGUACACAUACUCUAUCCCGGAACAUCAAGCAAUCAUCUGAACCAAUUUGAAAAUCUGAGUCAACACCUGCUUCACACUGAGCUCUCUUGGCUUGCAAUUUACUGUCAUUCUUUUGAGAUUCCCGAAUUUGCUGAAGAAAUAAUGGUCUAGCUCUCAAUUCAACCAACAUUGAGCCAUCAUCAGAUAAAGUUAACAUCGUACCCAUAGCUCUCAAAGCAAAUAAAGAUUUUCUACUCAAGGCAUCAGCAACCACAUUAGCUUUCCCGGGGUGAUAAUCAAUCACUAGCUCAUAGUCUUUGAUUAGCUCGAGCCAUCUUCGUUGCCGCAAAUUCAAAUCUUUUUGGCUCAUCAAAUACUUCAAACUCUUAUGAUCAGUGAAGAUUCGGCACUUUUCACCAUACAAAUAAUGACGCCAAAUUUUUAAAGCAAAAACAAUGGCAGCCAAUUCUAAAUCAUGCGUCGGAUAAUUCUUCUCAUGCGGUUUCAAUUGUCUCGAAGCAUAAGCUAUUACUUUGCCCUCUUGCAUUAACACACACCCAAGACCAUUCAACGAUGCAUCACUGUAAAUUACAAACUCCUUCCCGGACUCAGGUUGCACCAACACUGGCGCCUCAGUCAAUAAUGCCUUCAACUUUUCAAAACUCUGUUGACAUUUAGUGGUCCAUUCAAACUUGACAUUCUUCUGCAGUAACUUAGUCAUAGGAGAAGCAAUCAUCGAAAAUCCCUUGACAAAGCGUCUGUAAUACCCAGCUAAGCCCAGAAAGCUUCUAACUUCUGUCACAUUCUUUGGUGGCUCCCAAUCAACAAUUGCUGAAAUUUUGCUUGGAUCAACCCGAAUACCUUCACUUGAAACUAUAUGUCCCAAGAAUCCAACCUCACGAAGCCAAAAAUCACUUUUGCUGAAUUUAGCAUACAAUUUCUUUUCUCUCAGAAUCUGCAACACAGUUCUUAAAUGUUCUGCAUGCUCAGAUUCAUCCCGAGAAUAGAUUAAAAUAUCAUCUAUGAACACCACCACGAACUUAUCCAAGUACGGCCGAAAAAUUCGGUUCAUCAAGUCCAUAAAAAUAGCUGGAGCAUUUGUUAACCCAAAAGGCAUUACCAGAAAUUCAUAGUGUCCAUACCUUGUUAUAAAGGCGGUUUUCGGCACAUCAGACUCUUUAACUCUUAACUGAUAGUAACCAGACCUCAAAUCAAUCUUAGAAAACACUGUUGCCCCUUUUAAUUGAUCAAAUAAAUCAUCAAUUCUCGGCAAAGGAUACUUGUUCUUUAUAGUCACCUUGUUGAGCUGACGAUAGUCAAUACAAAGUCUCAUAGAGCCGUCUUUUUUUUCACAAAUAACACAGGAGCACCCCAAGGAGAAAAACUCGGUCUCACAAAUCCUUUAUCUGUCAACUCUUGUAACUGAGCUUUUAAUUCCUUCAACUCAGUCGGAGCCAUUCGAUACGGUGCAAUAGAAAUCGGUGCAGUACCAGGUAACAGAUCAAUAGAAAACUCAACUUCUCUAAUCGGAGGUAACCCAGGCAAUUCCUCUGGAAAUACAUCUGGAAAUUCACAAACUACCGGCACUGAUUCAAGCUUUGACCCAGUAAUAUCCGUGUUCAGCACAUAAGCAAGAUAAACUUCACAUCCCUUUCUCAAGUAUUUCUGAGCAGACAUGUGCGAAAUCACCAUAGGCAACUUAUUCGGCUCCUUUGUUUCAACCCGGAGAAUUUCACCGUUUUCACAAUUUAAUUCAAGAAUUUUCUGUCUACAAUUUACCUUGGCAUCAUGCAAUAUCAACCAAUCCAUCCCCAAAAUAACAUCAAACUCAUCAAAUGGUAACAACAUCAAAUUAGCCGGGAAACAGUGACCUUGAAUCAUCAGGGGACAAUUCUUGCAAACCUUAUCGACUAAGACAUAUUUGCCUAAAGGAUUUGAUACUUUAACUACAAAUUCAGUGUUUUCAACAGGCAAUUUCUUACUAGACACCAAAUUCAUGCAUAUAUAUGAAUGAGUAGAGCCGGGAUCAAUCAAAGCAAUAACAUCAAUAUCAUGAAGAGAAAAUGUACCAGUAAUCACAUCGGGAGAUGAGGCAUCCUCUCGAGCGCGUAUAGCAUAAGUCCUGGCAGGCGCUCUAGUUUCUGAUCCUCCAGCUGCAUCUUUUAUCACACUCUUACCACUGGCUUUGCUUCCCACAUUUCUCGGUGGUCUGCCUCUACUGACAACAUCACCCGAUCCAGCUCUUUGUAAUCUUUCUUCUUCUAUUCUCUCAGGGCAGUCUUUUACAUAAUGCUCUUGGGAACCACAUCUGAAACAAGCUCGUUUAAAUCCCCAACACUCACCAGUAUGUCGCCUGCCACACUGUUGACAUUCAGGUCUGGUGUUUCCUACAUUACCCACACUUGCCACUGAGGUAGCUCGAGUUGUAGUUCCGGAAUAUGACCUCCCUCUGUCUCUGCGUGAAUACCCAACUGAACCGGUUGGUCGUGGAUCCAUCCCUUUAAACUUCUUCGGGUGAGAUUGAAAUGUUCUGCCCAUUGACCUCUUCCUUACAUCUCGAGCUUCCAUCUCUGCCCUUCUCUUUUCUCUACUCAGCUCUUCAGCUUUGCAAGCACGAUCAACUAGUACCACAAAUUCUUUUAACUCUAAAAUUCCAACAUGUAAUCUGAUGUCUUCAUUUAGCCCCUCUUCAAAUCUUUUACACAUAAUAGCCUCCGUAGGCACACAUUCCUGGGCAUAUUUACUAAGCCGGACAAACUCCCGUUCAUAUUCUGCUACUGACAUUCGGCCCUGUUUCAAUCCGAGAAACUCUUUGCGCUUCUGAUCAAUAAACCGUUGGCUUACAUAUUUCUUUCUGAAUUCUUCCUGAAAGAAGUCCCAAGUAACUCUUUCUUUUGGAACCACCGUUAUUAAUUUUUUCCACCAACGGUAUGCCGAAUCCUUCAAUAAAGACACAGCACAUUUCAAACAUUCCUCAGGAGUACAAGAUAAUUCAUCAAAUACCUGGAUAGUAUUUUCAAGCCAAAACUCAGCUUUUUCCGGAUCAUCAUCAACAUUGGCCCUGAAAUCUUCAGCCCCAUGCUUUCGAAUUCUAUCAACGGGUGGUUUACUUGAUCUCACCAAUUCAGCACUUCGUGGAGCUACGGGGACCGGCGGAGGAAUAGGAGGGGGUGGAGGAGGUGGAACAUUCGGAUUUACACGGACAUAUUCUGUAUACCAAUCACUCAUCAUUCGGAGGAAGGCUUCUCGAGCCUCAUCCUGUCCAUGUGUCUCAUGUCUACUCUCUUCAUGCGCGGUCCCUUGUGCGGGAACCGGCGUGUUACUUUCAACAUCAUCUGCCAUACUUCGAUUAGGAUCCAUUUACUAUAUAAAACAAAUUUUUAAAUUGUCAGAAAUCAUCACACUAUCACAAUAUAUUGAUGGCAUGUAUAGACUGACUUUCACACAUAUUUUAUUGGUCCGAGAACCGACUAAACCGUAGCUCUGAUACCACUAAAAUGUAACACCCCUUACUCGUAUUCCGGCUCGGAACAGAGUAUGAGGUAUUACUAAGUUUUUUAAAAAAAAUUUCGACAGCAUUUCUGCUUAAUUUUGCUUAAACCUCCUGCAAAUUUAAAUCACAAUCCAAUAUAUAUAUAUCAACCAAACUCAUUUAUAAUAAUACUCACAAUUUAACUAUUAAUGAACACCACAUUUUAAAUCAAACCAUAACAUAUAUUUACAUGAUGAUUCCAUAUUUCAUAGGUCGUCUUUACAUGCCAUAAUUUUCCGGAACGAUAGUAGCAAAAUACCCCAAGUGUGAAGGAUAGUGUGGAUGAUUGUCUGACUUCGUUCCAAAUUUCCGAGUUGUCGGAAGUCACUCGGUGCAAAAUAUCGUAAUUUUGCACUUCACUCCACUAUCUUUUCUUUUCCUCGUUUGAGAUAAUCUUCACGUCUUUCUUGAUUAUGAGCUUGAGAAAGCAAAGAAACCUUAGCUAUGGCUUCCUUCAAAUUUCGGCAGCAACUAAUGAGGAAGAUGAUGAUUUUUGUCAUCUUUUUC